AUUUCCCUACGGGGGGCAGCAGUGGGGAAUAUUGCACAAUGGGGGAAACCCUGAUGCAGCAACGCCGCGUGAAGGAAGACGGUUUUCGGAUUGUAAACUUCUGUUCUUAGUGAAGAAUAAUGACGGUAGCUAAGGAGCAAGCCACGGCUAACUACGUGCCAGCAGCCGCGGUAAUACGUAGGUGGCAAGCGUUGUCCGGAAUUACUGGGUGUAAAGGGAGCGCAGGCGGGAAGCCAAGUCAGCUGUGAAAACUACGGGCUUAACUUGGAGACUGCAGUUGCAACUGGUUUUUUUGAGUGAA
This 301-nucleotide ribosomal RNA is filed under the name uncultured bacterium. Its description in RNAcentral is "bacterial SSU rRNA". It matches the Rfam family "Bacterial small subunit ribosomal RNA", at positions 333 to 650 of the family's 1533-position model. The record is from RNAcentral.